CCUACGGGAGGCUGCAGUGGGGAAUAUUGGACAAUGGGGGGAACCCUGAUCCAGCCAUGCCGCGUGUGUGAAGAAGGCCCUCGGGUUGUAAAGCACUUUCAGUGAGGAAGAACGCCUGGUGGUUAAUACCCAUCAGGAAAGACAUCACUCACAGAAGAAGCACCGGCUAACUCCGUGCCAGCAGCCGCGGUAAUACGGAGGGUGCGAGCGUUAAUCGGAAUUACUGGGCGUAAAGCGCGCGUAGGUGGCUUGAUAAGCCGGUUGUGAAAGCCCCGGGCUCAACCUGGGAACGGCAGCCGGAACUGUCAAGCUAGAGUGCAGGAGAGGAAGGUAGAAUUCCCGGUGUAGCGGUGAAAUGCGUAGAGAUCGGGAGGAAUACCAGUGGCGAAGGCGGCCUUCUGGACUGACACUGACACUGAGGUGCGAAAGCGUGGGUAGCAAACAGGAUUAGAUACCCGAGUAGUC
This 465-nucleotide ribosomal RNA is filed under the name Vreelandella stevensii. RNAcentral describes it as "partial 16S ribosomal RNA". It matches the Rfam family "Bacterial small subunit ribosomal RNA", at positions 338 to 795 of the family's 1533-position model. Lineage: Bacteria; Pseudomonadati; Pseudomonadota; Gammaproteobacteria; Oceanospirillales; Halomonadaceae. The record is from RNAcentral.